GUCUCAGGAUGCAACCAAUUUCGAAUUCUUUGUACGGUUUUUUCUCAACCGCUCAUUCUUUAUAUUACGGCUACGAUCCCGCAACCUCUUUUUCUCUUAUCAGCGGCAUUAAUUAGGUCAUCUUAAUUACCGCCGUCUCUUCAUCAUUAUAACCGUCAUUAUAACCGGCCUCAGAACUCGCUUCGACGCGAUUGUUCGACGCGACGGCUCUCUUUACUAAACUCUUUCCCAAGUUUCAUUCUUUUACUUUUAACUCAAGAGUUUUCUUCUUCGCCUCAUCUUCUCUGAUCUCCAUCUUUGAUCUCUAUCUAUUUUC
This 316-nucleotide long non-coding RNA is filed under the name Ananas comosus (pineapple). RNAcentral describes it as "long non-coding RNA (ACOM_LNC017875)". The record is from RNAcentral. Lineage: Eukaryota; Viridiplantae; Streptophyta; Magnoliopsida; Poales; Bromeliaceae.